CUCCCAAAUCUUUCUCCUCAGGGCCAUUCUCAAGUCAUUCUUUUACCAAUGGCAGGGAAGUUUUAUGCAAUAAAGUGAAUGACUAGGGAUCUUGGAGCUGAAAUGAUUUCAAUCUAUUCUCAGCCUUUAAGUGGGUAAGUUGCUCAGCUCACUGUUGUGGAGCUGGGCCAUGGAAUUGCACGAGUGGCUCAGUGGGCCACUUUUUGGUAAGAAGACCUGAUGCUGUGGAAUGAAUCAGAUGCCAUGUUAAGGUGCUCUAUACUGAUGUUCACAGAAUCAUAGAAUUGCUCAGGUUGGAAAAGACUUCAAGAUCAUCGAGACCAAGCACAACCUAACUGUACUACCCCAACUCUAACAACCCACCACUAAAUCAUAUCUCUGAGCACCAUUUUCAGAUGGUUUUUAAACACAUCCAGGGAAGGUGACUCAACCACCUCCCUGGUGUAGGAG
This 450-nucleotide non-coding RNA is filed under the name Callipepla squamata (scaled quail). RNAcentral's name for it is "Eukaryotic large subunit ribosomal RNA". It matches the Rfam family "Eukaryotic large subunit ribosomal RNA", at positions 959 to 1387 of the family's 3401-position model. The record is from Rfam by way of RNAcentral. Lineage: Eukaryota; Metazoa; Chordata; Aves; Galliformes; Odontophoridae.